This is an RNA transcript of Gossypium raimondii (Peruvian cotton), 940 nucleotides long. RefSeq lists it as uncharacterized. The record is from RefSeq and is a predicted model, not a curated record. NCBI's taxonomy places the organism in Eukaryota, Viridiplantae, Streptophyta, Magnoliopsida, Malvales, Malvaceae. The transcript has 4 exons.
UAACAUGAGUAUGAUUAUCAUGGUUUCCACCACAAUCUCUUUCCCUCUUAGGUUUUCAACUACGGCCAUGGAUGCUCCCAAGUUUAACUAUGACAAGGUGGAAACUGUUCGAAAGCAGUUGGAACAUUUGCAGAAGGAGAAUCAAAUGCUUAGACUAUUACUUGAAGCAAUGAGCGAAAAGUACAACAUACUUCAUAAAAUUUAUCUCCAACAAUCGAAUUUGAAGUCGGAUUCAUAUGAUGAAUACUCGAAUAAGGGGUUAAAUUGGCCUCCAAUUUCGACCGUAAUGAAGACUUCGCAUAUUUUUGUGAAAACAGAUCCUAAGGACAAUAGUCUUAUAGUUGGAGGAAAUACGGUCAGAAAGUUACUAAAAAUAACCCAUCACCUCGCGCUUAUUUCAAGUGUUCUCUGACUCCUGCAUGUCCAGUAAAAAGGAAGGUUCAACGAUGCGUGGAGGACAAAUCUUUUCUUAUGGUAACGUAUGAAGGACAGCAUAACCAUGAUGUUAAUCCUACUGUACGACACUCUUUAACUUCCUCAACUACCUUUCCUAUUCUUUUUGUUAACCAUCACUAAAAAUUAUCUUGGGAAUGUUAUGCAAAAUUAUGGCACAAGCAAUAACGUUGAUGACGACUGCGACGAUGACAACAACCAACAAUAAUGUGACUUUAGCCAUCAGUACCAGAACAAGCUAAACCAUCAAUCUCGUGAACAGAAAAAUGAAACUAAAAUGCUGGGGUGAUUUUAAUAUGUGAAAAGCAGGGGAACAAAUGAAUUGAUAAGGCAUCAUUUCAAGUUGUGGUUGAAUUAAUUUUUUUCAAUUUUUUGUAUUUUAUUUUAAGCUCAUAAAAUUAAAUGAUUUAAAAUAACUUUUCAAUUACCCAACUUUUAAAAAUUAUGUAAUAGUCACUAAUGUUAACGAAUUGUUAUAUUUUGAUCA